Molecule: ribosomal RNA, 2922 nt
Filed under: Klebsiella pneumoniae
Lineage: Bacteria; Pseudomonadati; Pseudomonadota; Gammaproteobacteria; Enterobacterales; Enterobacteriaceae
Also listed under: 1 other name
Description: bacterial LSU rRNA
Rfam family: Bacterial large subunit ribosomal RNA
Source: RNAcentral
GGGUUGUGAGGUUAAGCGACUAAGCGUACACGGUGGAUGCCCUGGCAGUCAGAGGCGAUGAAGGACGUGCUAAUCUGCGAAAAGCGUCGGUAAGGUGAUAUGAACCGUUAUAACCGGCGAUGUCCGAAUGGGGAAACCCAGUGCAAUUCGUUGCACUAUCGUUAACUGAAUACAUAGGUUAACGAGGCGAACCGGGGGAACUGAAACAUCUAAGUACCCCGAGGAAAAGAAAUCAACCGAGAUUCCCCCAGUAGCGGCGAGCGAACGGGGAGCAGCCCAGAGUCUGAAUCAGCUUGUGUGUUAGUGGAACGGUCUGGAAAGUCCGACGGUACAGGGUGAUAGUCCCGUACACCAAAAUGCACAGGCUGUGAACUCGAAGAGUAGGGCGGGACACGUGGUAUCCUGUCUGAAUAUGGGGGGACCAUCCUCCAAGGCUAAAUACUCCUGACUGACCGAUAGUGAACCAGUACCGUGAGGGAAAGGCGAAAAGAACCCCGGCGAGGGGAGUGAAAAAGAACCUGAAACCGUGUACGUACAAGCAGUGGGAGCACCUUCGGGUGUGACUGCGUACCUUUUGUAUAAUGGGUCAGCGACUUAUAUUCUGUAGCAAGGUUAACCGUAUAGGGGAGCCGCAGGGAAACCGAGUCUUAACUGGGCGUUAAGUUGCAGGGUAUAGACCCGAAACCCGGUGAUCUAGCCAUGGGCAGGUUGAAGGUUGGGUAACACUAACUGGAGGACCGAACCGACUAAUGUUGAAAAAUUAGCGGAUGACUUGUGGCUGGGGGUGAAAGGCCAAUCAAACCGGGAGAUAGCUGGUUCUCCCCGAAAGCUAUUUAGGUAGCGCCUCGUGAAUUCAUCUUCGGGGGUAGAGCACUGUUUCGGCUAGGGGGUCAUCCCGACUUACCAACCCGAUGCAAACUACGAAUACCGAAGAAUGUUAUCACGGGAGACACACGGCGGGUGCUAACGUCCGUCGUGAAGAGGGAAACAACCCAGACCGCCAGCUAAGGUCCCAAAGUCAUGGUUAAGUGGGAAACGAUGUGGGAAGGCACAGACAGCCAGGAUGUUGGCUUAGAAGCAGCCAUCAUUUAAAGAAAGCGUAAUAGCUCACUGGUCGAGUCGGCCUGCGCGGAAGAUGUAACGGGGCUAAACCAUGCACCGAAGCUGCGGCAGCGACACUAUGUGUUGUUGGGUAGGGGAGCGUUCUGUAAGCCUGCGAAGGUGACCUGUGAGGGUUGCUGGAGGUAUCAGAAGUGCGAAUGCUGACAUAAGUAACGAUAAAGCGGGUGAAAAGCCCGCUCGCCGGAAGACCAAGGGUUCCUGUCCAACGUUAAUCGGGGCAGGGUGAGUCGACCCCUAAGGCGAGGCCGAAAGGCGUAGUCGAUGGGAAACAGGUUAAUAUUCCUGUACUUGGUGUUACUGCGAAGGGGGGACGGAGAAGGCUAUGUUAGCCGGGCGACGGUUGUCCCGGUUUAAGCAUGUAGGCUGAUUGUCCAGGCAAAUCCGGAUAAUCAAGGCUGAGGUGUGAUGACGAGGCACUACGGUGCUGAAGUAACAAAUGCCCUGCUUCCAGGAAAAGCCUCUAAGCAUCAGGUAACAUUAAAUCGUACCCCAAACCGACACAGGUGGUCAGGUAGAGAAUACCAAGGCGCUUGAGAGAACUCGGGUGAAGGAACUAGGCAAAAUGGUGCCGUAACUUCGGGAGAAGGCACGCUGGUGUGUAGGUGAAGUCCCUGCGGAUGGAGCUGAGACCAGUCGAAGAUACCAGCUGGCUGCAACUGUUUAUUAAAAACACAGCACUGUGCAAACACGAAAGUGGACGUAUACGGUGUGACGCCUGCCCGGUGCCGGAAGGUUAAUUGAUGGGGUUAUCCGUAAGGAGAAGCUCUUGAUCGAAGCCCCGGUAAACGGCGGCCGUAACUAUAACGGUCCUAAGGUAGCGAAAUUCCUUGUCGGGUAAGUUCCGACCUGCACGAAUGGCGUAAUGAUGGCCAGGCUGUCUCCACCCGAGACUCAGUGAAAUUGAACUCGCUGUGAAGAUGCAGUGUACCCGCGGCAAGACGGAAAGACCCCGUGAACCUUUACUAUAGCUUGACACUGAACAUUGAGCCUUGAUGUGUAGGAUAGGUGGGAGGCUUUGAAGCGUGGACGCCAGUCUGCGUGGAGCCAACCUUGAAAUACCACCCUUUAAUGUUUGAUGUUCUAACGUUGGCCCCUGACCGGGGUUGCGGACAGUGUCUGGUGGGUAGUUUGACUGGGGCGGUCUCCUCCCAAAGCGUAACGGAGGAGCACGAAGGUUAGCUAAUCCUGGUCGGACAUCAGGAGGUUAGUGCAAUGGCAUAAGCUAGCUUGACUGCGAGCGUGACGGCGCGAGCAGGUGCGAAAGCAGGUCAUAGUGAUCCGGUGGUUCUGAAUGGAAGGGCCAUCGCUCAACGGAUAAAAGGUACUCCGGGGAUAACAGGCUGAUACCGCCCAAGAGUUCAUAUCGACGGCGGUGUUUGGCACCUCGAUGUCGGCUCAUCACAUCCUGGGGCUGAAGUAGGUCCCAAGGGUAUGGCUGUUCGCCAUUUAAAGUGGUACGCGAGCUGGGUUUAGAACGUCGUGAGACAGUUCGGUCCCUAUCUGCCGUGGGCGCUGGAGAAUUGAGGGGGCUGCUCCUAGUACGAGAGGACCGGAGUGGACGCAUCACUGGUGUUCGGGUUGUCAUGCCAAUGGCACUGCCCGGUAGCUAAAUGCGGAAGAGAUAAGUGCUGAAAGCAUCUAAGCACGAAACUUGCCCCGAGAUGAGUUCUCCCUGAGACUUUAAGUCUCCUGAAGGAACGUUAAAGACGAUGACGUUGAUAGGCCGGGUGUGUAAGCGCAGCGAUGCGUUGAGCUAACCGGUACUAAUGAACCGUGAGGCUUAACCUUACAACGCCGAAG